AAACGAAUGGACAAGAACUGUCAUAUGUUAUCGAGAAUUGAAUAUGCUAUAAAAUUCCAACGUUCUUAGUGUUGAUUAUGCAUGAUGAUUAUGUUUUUGGUAUUGAUAUAUUCUUUUUAUCAUAAUGGUCUGGAUAGUGGGUCAUUCAUUUAUUAAUGUUUAUUUUGCGUUUCCAAUAUUUUUUAUUCUUUAUAUUUCAGCAACUCAUCAUUCAAUCUUUUUUUUUUUGCCUUUUAUUCUGCAGUAUUUGCCAAUUAUUUUGUCUUCCACAGGUAAAUCCCAAUACAAUCUAGAAACUCGCUAGUACAACAUAUCAGUUGUAAAAAAUAUAUGAUAUGUCCAUUAUCAUUUCUCCUGCUUUAGUGGACGUCCCUUCGAGCGCUCGCUUUUUCAUGAAUUAGAAACCUUUACGACGGAAUCGAAAACGGCGACGUCAUAAUACAGUUACGACACUAUGGCGGCACCGAGAGCGAUGCGUAUAAACAAUAGUGUGAUUUCCCUUUAAUAGGUUUACGUGUCUAUCCUAAAUUAUGGUUUAUAAGUGAAGUAGUUGUCUUUAGUUGAUGUCUGAAAUAUUUGCUUUCGUUUAUUACUGUGUACACAAAUCCGGCAAUCACGUCUCUUGUUUGAAUUGUUUUACACUUUUCAGAUUGUUGACAUUUACUUUACGAAUCACAUUUAUUUAUGAAGGCCGUAUGGUGACCAACAGCUGUUUUGCCACAUUUUUUUCAUUUUCAUAUCAACGACAAAUACCUAUCUAAUUGUUAAGAGUUUGACAAUGUUUGACUUAUACUGCAGGACACGAUGGAAAAUAAAAAAGACAAAACUACCCCACUUAAACUUACAAAUGUUUGUAUUGUCCUAUUACCACAGAGAGUUAUACAGUAUAAUAUUGUACAACGUAUGCAUUAUGUACACUCAACUACAGUUAACAACAGGAAAAAGGUCAUCGGAAUUUUUUUUUAUAGAAAAUGCAUCACGUAUGAAAUUAUUUAAUUUGAUGAAAUUUGAGUAAAAUUUACAUUUUUGUUUAAAAAUCGGCA
This 1043-nucleotide long non-coding RNA is filed under the name Mytilus galloprovincialis (Mediterranean mussel). The record is from RNAcentral. Lineage: Eukaryota; Metazoa; Mollusca; Bivalvia; Mytilida; Mytilidae.